AGUACCAUAAAAAAGUAUAUCAUAGACAUGUUUGAUCCGAGACGGAAGGUUCCAGAGUAAGUGACAACUAAGCAGAGAUCUUAAAGAUGUGGGAACACCUACAUGUCUAUGUUCAGAAGCUGCCUUGAUGCCACAUGCGGGAGGCUGGAAACGCUGAAGGAUGACCACUGCUCAGCAGCAGUCUACCAGUGAUGGAUGAGAGUUGGUGCACAAAUACCCCAGCUCCCUUGCCUCUCAGUUUGGAUAAUCCUGAAAAGACCCAGCAAGAAAUGAUUCCAAGAUCACCUAGCUGAUCUCAUGCUCUAUCUGGAUUUGAGUGAAGAUAUACAUAUUCACCAAGUCUUGACUCAGUCACCUUUUGUGCAGGCCCAAUAGAAGCAAAUGCAGGUAUGAUCUGGAGAAGCAUAUCUUGAAUCUCAAAAAGUCAGGACAGACAACACCAUAAGAAACAGCAGGGGGAAAAGAAAAAAGCAGAAUCAGGCUCAGAACUACAGACACCUUCAGAGGGCAGUGUUCCAUUUUAUUGAGGGAGAUCUGAAGAGAUGAAGUGACUUGCCAGAGCACAGGUCCAGUAAGUGUCAGGUUUCAAGUUCUUUGAGUUGAGAUUCAGUCAUUUGAAAGCCAUUUAUCUAGUGGAAUAACACC
Homo sapiens (human) is the source of this 645-nucleotide long non-coding RNA. NCBI's taxonomy places the organism in Eukaryota, Metazoa, Chordata, Mammalia, Primates, Hominidae. The record is from Ensembl.